Molecule: ribosomal RNA, 374 nt
Filed under: uncultured eukaryote
Lineage: Eukaryota
Description: partial small subunit ribosomal RNA
Source: RNAcentral
CAUCACCGCGGGCGUGUUCAUGAACUACACGGGGAUUAGCCGGCGGCUGGUGGCGUUCGCCGAGGUGCUCACCGGUCAUCUGCCGGGCGGGCUGGCCCAGGUGAACGUGGUGCUCUCGACGCUGAUGGGGGGGCUGUCGGGGUCGAACCUCGCCGACGCGGCGAUGCAGUCGAAGAUCCUGGUGCCGGAGAUGGUCAAGCGGGGCUAUAGCCCGGCCUUCUCCGCCGCGGUGACCGCCGCCUCGGCGCUGAUCACCCCGAUCAUCCCGCCCGGCAUCGCGCUGAUUAUCUACGGGUACGUGGGGAACGUGUCGAUCGGGCGGCUGUUUUUGGCCGGCGUGGUUCCCGGCAUCUUGACGUGUGGUUUGAUGAUGG